This is an RNA transcript of Eucalyptus grandis, 2398 nucleotides long. It is a transcript of the gene named MADS-box protein AGL42, with no coding region annotated. The transcript is spliced from 8 exons. The record is from RefSeq and is a predicted model, not a curated record. NCBI's taxonomy places the organism in Eukaryota, Viridiplantae, Streptophyta, Magnoliopsida, Myrtales, Myrtaceae.
AUUUUUUUUUUUUUUUUUUUGCUUUUUAUGUUCGUAGCCACAAAAUAAAGAGAGAUCCGUGAGCUGCCAAAUCUCCUUUGCUUUCGUUCCAGUUUUUUGGUUUUUGCCUUCUGUAGGGUGUCUGAAUUUAUUGUGGUUCAUUUUUGUGCGUAGAGUAGAGAAGCUUCCCCAUUUAAUACCCUGGGCAAAUCUAUAAUUCUCCAACCUUUGAUUGCGAAAUCUUUAUCCUGUGGUUUUUGCUUGUGUUCGAAUGAUGAUAUAGUUCACGUCUGUUUGGAAAAAAGAAGUGUGAAUUGUCUUGCGGUGUUUUUAGCUUCUGAAGAAUUUCAGUCUAAAGUCUAGACAAUAGGAGGUGGAUAAAAAGAUAAAUCUUGAGCUGGUUGACGCUGCGAAAGUCCUGGAAGAAUUUAAUCAUGGCGAGAGGCAAAGUUCAGAUGAGGCGAAUUGAGAACACAACGAGCCAGCAAGUCACCUUCUCAAAGCGCUGGAAUGGGCUACUGAAGAAAGCUUAUGAGCUCUCGGUCCUCUGCGACGCCGAGGUCGCGGUGAUCAUCUUUUCACAGAAAGGAAGGCUUCACAAGUUGUCAAGCAAUUCGGAAUCUGCAAGUGGUGCGGCUACGUACCAGGCUAAUGUGGAACAAUAUAUUCUGCGUCUGAAGCAAGAAACCACUGACAUGGAGAGGAAGAUUGAGCUUCUUGAAGUUUCUCUACGGAAGCUAUCAGGACAAUGUCUUGGAUCUUGCUCAAUCGAUGAAAUCCAACAGAGAGGGGAUCAGCUCGAGCGAAGUUUGAGCAGCAUUAGGGAAAGAAAGGACUUAUCAUAUCCAUACAGGAGCCGAAACACCAAUUUCAAUAGAGACUGCAAUCACAUGGUAAGAUUGGAACUGAAUAGACUAAAAAUAUUCAACUUGGCAUAUGAAAGGAGAGAAUGAAUAUUUCUCCAAGCAUACAUGGCGUUUUCUACCUUAUAUGAAAGAACGAAAGCACAUUCAGAAAUCACCCCUUUUCUUCAUAGUUAUUGACCUAUUCUUUUUUUUUUCCCCGAUAAACAAGUAAAAGAUCAUGAUUAUUCUUCUAUCAGUAUUUUUCCCGAAGUUAUCCGGACGACUCUAUUGUUUGUCUUUCCAAAAUAAAUUGGAUAGUUUUUGAUAAACCUAUGAAAGAGUUCUAAGUGACAAAAAACCGUGAUUAAAAAAAGUAUUCAAUUACCUGAUUUCUAAGUGACUUAUUGGUAACUUACACUUGUAUGAAAUUUCCGACUCUUUUCAACAAUGUGCAAUUAUCAAUAUCUCUUAUUUUUUAUUAACUUUUAUUUAUUUUUUCUUGCCAUUCCUUUAAAUUUAAUAGCUCUUAUAUAUAUUUGCAAAUAUUUAUGUGAAUAGCUUAUAGACCUAUUUUUCGCUAAAAUUACUAACUCUUUUUGGGUUACUAACUCUAUUUGACUAACUUUAUAGACUUAUAGACUUAUUUUUUCGGGACUAACUUACCAACGCUUAAUUGGUCUUUCUUAGUGCAAUUUUUCCUACUCUAACCCUUCCUUUGACUACUCUAAUGGAAACAUUGUGUUAUGGUGGAGAAUGAGGUCUACUCUUUCUCUUCUGUCUUACGUGCCAACAACUUCAGCAGAUCUUUCUUCUCUUUAUCACUUUCCUAGUUAUAAAAUAAUUUCUGUUGAUAAAAAUACUUCCACUCCUCUUCACCCUUUACGAACCCAACUAGAAAUUACCAAUCUUGAUUAUAGGAGUUACUAACUUUUCUCUGUUUAAGUAACCAACUAAUUCUGCGUUGCCAACUCUUAUUUGAUUAGUUAAUAAGUUUAUUCGGUUUGGUUAAAUAACUGGCUUUUCUUCUCUGACCAAAAAAAAAAAAAAAAAAAGGCCAUCGGUCAAUUUUUACCAAUGGUUUCUACACUUAUUGACAUGAGUGGAUACUUAUUUACAUGAAACAAAAAAAUAGUGCGCACUCUUUGGCAUGAAAUGAUAGAAUACCGUGAGUUUUUUUAUUAUAUUAACUAUGCCGAUUCCCAUGUACAACUUUUCACUUGAACUAUGUUUCUGGACAAGUUGCAAAGCAUCGUCCUUUCAUUUCUAUCGUCCGUCAUUUCAACUUAUUUUCUCUCUUUUAUUAUUUUUUACCUUGUACUAAGAAAGGUUUCGGGACAACAUGCACACACACGAAAGUUAAAAUAUUUCUACGGAGCUCUUUUACAGGCUUAAUUAUUCAACGAUCAGAUACGGCGGCAGCUACAAGCAAAGGAGAGGUCUCUGAAAGAAGAGAAUGCAAAGCUUCUUGCAAAGGCAAUCAACAGCUCAUCCGAGAGCAACAACAAUACAUAGCCGGAGCAACCGAAGUACAAAUGGUGAGGCCGGGUUGUUCGUUGGAUUGCCAAAAAGUUAAA